UAGGGAAUCUUCCGCAAUGGGCGAAAGCCUGACGGAGCAACGCCGCGUGAGUGAUGAAGGUCUUCGGAUCGUAAAACUCUGUUAUUAGGGAAGAACAAAUGUGUAAGUAACUAUGCACGUCUUGACGGUACCUAAUCAGAAAGCCACGGCUAACUUCGUGCCAGCCGCCGCGGUAAUACGUAGGUGGCAAGCGUUAUCCGGAAUUAUUGGGCGUAAAGCGCGCGUAGGCGGUUUUUUAAGUCUGAUGUGAAAGCCCACGGCUCAACCGUGGAGGGUCAUUGGAAACUGGAAAACUUGAGUGCAGAAGAAGAAAGUGGAAUUCCAUGUGUAGCGGUGAAAUGCGCAGAGAUAUGGAGGAAGACCAGUGGCGAAGGCGACUUUCUGGUCUGUAACUGACGCUGAUGUGCGAAAGCGUGGGGAUCAAACAGG
Molecule: ribosomal RNA, 429 nt
Filed under: Actinomycetes bacterium
Lineage: Bacteria; Bacillati; Actinomycetota; Actinomycetes
Description: Actinobacteria bacterium partial 16S ribosomal RNA
Rfam family: Bacterial small subunit ribosomal RNA
Source: RNAcentral